AUUGAACGCUGGCGGAAUGCUUUACACAUGCAAGUCGAACGGCAGCACGGACUUCGGUCUGGUGGCGAGUGGCGAACGGGUGAGUAAUGUAUCGGAACGUGCCCAGUCGUGGGGGAUAACGUAGUGAAAAUUACGCUAAUACCGCAUACGAUCUAUGGAUGAAAGCGGGGGAUCGCAAGACCUCGCGCGAUUGGAGCGGCCGAUAUCAGAUUAGGUAGUUGGUGGGGUAAAGGCCCACCAAGCCAACGAUCUGUAGCCGGUCUGAGAGGACGACCAGACACACUGGAACUGAGACACGCUCGAGACUCGUGCGGGAGGCAGCAGUGGGGAAUUUUGGACAAUGGGCGAAAGCCUGAUCCAGCCAUUCCGCGUGCAGGAUGAAGGCCCUCGGGUUGUAAACUGCUUUUGUACAGAGCGAAAAGGUUUCUACUAAUACUAGGAGCUCAUGACGGUACUGUAAGAAUAAGCACCGGCUAACUACGUGCCAGCCGCCGCCGUAA
Molecule: ribosomal RNA, 500 nt
Filed under: uncultured bacterium
Lineage: Bacteria
Description: partial 16S ribosomal RNA
Rfam family: Bacterial small subunit ribosomal RNA
Source: RNAcentral